RNAcentral lists this ribosomal RNA (1138 nucleotides) under uncultured bacterium. RNAcentral's name for it is "bacterial SSU rRNA". It matches the Rfam family "Bacterial small subunit ribosomal RNA", at positions 202 to 1352 of the family's 1533-position model. The record is from RNAcentral.
GGAAAGUUUUUCGGUUGGGGAUGGGCUCGCGGCCUUAUCAGCUUGUUGGUGGGGUAAAGGCCUACCAAGGCGACGACGGGUAGCCGGCCUGAGAGGGCGACCGGCCACACUGGGACUGAGACACGGCCCAGACUCCUACGGGAGGCAGCAGUGGGGAAUAUUGCACAAUGGGGGAAACCCUGAUGCAGCGACGCCGCGUGAGGGAUGACGGCCUUCGGGUUGUAAACCUCUUUCAGUAGGGAAGAAGCCUUUCGAGGUGACGGUACCUGCAGAAGAAGUACCGGCUAACUACGUGCCAGCAGCCGCGGUAAUACGUAGGGUACAAGCGUUGUCCGGAAUUAUUGGGCGUAAAGAGCUCGUAGGCGGUCCGUCGCGUCUGCUGUGGAAACGCAAGGCUCAACCUUGCGCGUGCAGUGGGUACGGGCGGACUAGAGUGCAGUAGGGGAGUCUGGAAUUCCUGGUGUAGCGGUGAAAUGCGCAGAUAUCAGGAGGAACACCGGUGGCGAAGGCGGGACUCUGGGCUGUUACUGACGCUGAGGAGCGAAAGCAUGGGGAGCGAACAGGAUUAGAUACCCUGGUAGUCCAUGCCGUAAACGUUGGGCACUAGGUGUGGGGCUCAUUCCACGAGUUCCGCGCCGCAGCCAACGCAUUAAGUGCCCCGCCUGGGGAGUACGGCCGCAAGGCUAAAACUCAAAGGAAUUGACGGGGGCCCGCACAAGCGGCGGAGCAUGCGGAUUAAUUCGAUGCAACGCGAAGAACCUUACCAAGGCUUGACAUACACCGGAAUGUGCCAGAGAUGGUUCAGCCCUUUGGGCUGGUGUACAGGUGGUGCAUGGUUGUCGUCAGCUCGUGUCGUGAGAUGUUGGGUUAAGUCCCGCAACGAGCGCAACCCUCGUUCUAUGUUGCCAGCACGUGAUGGUGGGAACUCAUAGGAGACUGCCGGGGUCAACUCGGAGGAAGGUGGGGAUGACGUCAAAUCAUCAUGCCCUUUAUGUCUUGGGCUUCACGCAUGCUACAAUGGUCGGUACAAAGGGUUGCGAGACCGUGAGGUGGAGCGAAUCCCAGAAAGCCGAUCUCAGUUCGGAUCGUAGUCUGCAACUCGACUACGGAAGUCGGAGUCGCUAUAAUCGCAGAUCAG